RNAcentral lists this ribosomal RNA (492 nucleotides) under uncultured bacterium. RNAcentral describes it as "partial 16S ribosomal RNA". It matches the Rfam family "Bacterial small subunit ribosomal RNA", at positions 29 to 507 of the family's 1533-position model. The record is from RNAcentral.
AGUGAACGCUGGCGGUAGGCCUAACACAUGCAAGUCGAACGGCAGCACAGUAAGAGCUUGCUCUUACGGGUGGCGAGUGGCGGACGGGUGAGGAAUACAUCGGAAUCUACUUUUUCGUGGGGGAUAACGUAGGGAAACAUACGCUACUACCGCAUACGACCUACGGGUGAAUGCAGGGGAUCUUCGGACCUUGCGCGAUUGAUUGAGCCGAUGUCGGAUUAGCUAGUUGGCGGGGUAAAGGCCCACCAAGGCGACGAUACGUAGCCGGUCUGAGAGGAUGAUCAGCCACACUGGAACUGAGACACGGUCCAGACUCCUACGGGAGGCAGCAGUGGGGAAUAUUGGACAAUGGGCGCAAGCCUGAUCCAGCCAUACCGCGUGAGUGAAGAAGGCCUUCGGGUUGUAAAGCCCUUUUGUUGGGAAAGAAAAGCAGCAGGUUAAUACCCCGCUGUUCUGACGGUACCCAAAGAAUAAGCACCGGCUAACUUCGUG